AUUCGUAACAAGGUCUCCGUAGGUGAACCUGCGGAGGGAUCAUUACACAAAUAUGAAGGCGGGCUGGAACCUCUCGGGGUUACAGCCUUGCUGAAUUAUUCACCCUUGUCUUUUGCGUACUUCUUGUUUCCUUGGUGGGUCCGCCCACCACUAGGACAAACAUAAACCUUUUGUAAUUGCAAUCAGCGUCAGUAACAAAUUAAUAAUUACAACUUUCAACAACGGAUCUCUUGGUUCUGGCAUCGAUGAAGAACGCAGCGAAAUGCGAUAAGUAGUGUGAAUUGCAGAAUUCAGUGAAUCAUCGAAUCUUUGAACGCACAUUGCGCCCUUUGGUAUUCCAAAGGGCAUGCCUGUUCGAGCGUCAUUUGUACCCUCAAGCUUUGCUUGGUGUUGGGCGUCUUGUCUCUAGCUUUGCUGGAGACUCGCCUUAAAGUAAUUGGCAGCCGGCCUACUGGUUUCGGAGCGCAGCACAAGUCGCACUCUCUAUCAGCAAAGGUCUAGCAUCCAUUAAGCCUUUUUUUUCAACUUUUGACCUCGGAUCAGGUAGGGAUACCCGCUGAACUUAAGCAUAUCAAUAAAUUCG
This 583-nucleotide ribosomal RNA is filed under the name uncultured fungus. Its description in RNAcentral is "eukaryotic LSU rRNA". The stretch from base 211 to 364 matches the Rfam family "5.8S ribosomal RNA". The record is from RNAcentral. Lineage: Eukaryota; Fungi.